RNAcentral lists this ribosomal RNA (1378 nucleotides) under uncultured bacterium. RNAcentral describes it as "bacterial SSU rRNA". It matches the Rfam family "Bacterial small subunit ribosomal RNA", at positions 18 to 1392 of the family's 1533-position model. The record is from RNAcentral.
CCUGGCUCACGUAUGAACGCUAGCGACAGGCUUAACACAUGCAAGUCGAGGGGCAGCGGGGUGUAGCAAUACACCGCCGGCGACCGGCGCACGGGUGAGUAACGCGUAUGCAACUUACCUAUCAGAGGGGGAUAACCCGGCGAAAGUCGGACUAAUACCGCAUGAAGCAGGGGCCCCGCAUGGGGAUAUUUGCUAAAGAUUCAUCGCUGAUAGAUAGGCAUGCGUUCCAUUAGGCAGUUGGCGGGGUAACGGCCCACCAAACCGACGAUGGAUAGGGGUUCUGAGAGGAAGGUCCCCCACAUUGGUACUGAGACACGGACCAAACUCCUACGGGAGGCAGCAGUGAGGAAUAUUGGUCAAUGGGCGUAAGCCUGAACCAGCCAAGUCGCGUGAGGGAUGAAGGUUCUAUGGAUCGUAAACCUCUUUUAUAAGGGAAUAAAGUGUAGGACGUGUCUAUUUUGUAUGUACCUUAUGAAUAAGGAUCGGCUAACUCCGUGCCAGCAGCCGCGGUAAUACGGAGGAUCCGAGCGUUAUCCGGAUUUAUUGGGUUUAAAGGGUGCGUAGGCGGCCUUUUAAGUCAGCGGUGAAAGUCUGUGGCUCAACCAUAGAAUUGCCGUUGAAACUGGGAGGCUUGAGUAUGUUUGAGGCAGGCGGAAUGCGUGGUGUAGCGGUGAAAUGCUUAGAUAUCACGCAGAACCCCGAUUGCGAAGGCAGCCUGCCAAGCCAUGACUGACGCUGAUGCACGAAAGCGUGGGGAUCAAACAGGAUUAGAUACCCUGGUAGUCCACGCAGUAAACGAUGAUCACUAGCUGUUUGCGAUACACAGUAAGCGGCACAGCGAAAGCGUUAAGUGAUCCACCUGGGGAGUACGCCGGCAACGGUGAAACUCAAAGGAAUUGACGGGGGCCCGCACAAGCGGAGGAACAUGUGGUUUAAUUCGAUGAUACGCGAGGAACCUUACCCGGGUUUGAACGCAUUUCGACCGCUCUGGAAACAGAGCCUCUAGCAAUAGCGAUUUGCGAGGUGCUGCAUGGUUGUCGUCAGCUCGUGCCGUGAGGUGUCGGCUUAAGUGCCAUAACGAGCGCAACCCUUGCCACUAGUUACUAACAGGUGAUGCUGAGGACUCUGGUGGGACUGCCAGCGUAAGCUGCGAGGAAGGCGGGGAUGACGUCAAAUCAGCACGGCCCUUACAUCCGGGGCGACACACGUGUUACAAUGGCGUGGACAAAGGGAAGCCACCUGGCGACAGGGAGCGAAUCCCCAAACCACGUCUCAGUUCGGAUCGGAGUCUGCAACCCGACUCCGUGAAGCUGGAUUCGCUAGUAAUCGCGCAUCAGCCAUGGCGCGGUGAAUACGUUCCCGGGCCUUGUACACACCG